CUCUGGUAAACAAAUGAACACUGACUGGGCUGGGACACACAACAAACCACAAUCACACUGUGUUCUGGUGUAGUGAAAAGCGUUUUACUAUGUAAUUUGUGGAAAAUACUUGCUAUAGUUAUGUAUGCAUCACAACAUCUCAGCAUGAUGCAGAGAAUGAAAGUGCUUGUCACACGAAAACAUGACAAGCUACCUGUAAUAAUUAACACAAGAGUGGUCCACUAAAUUCAUGCUCACCAAAUGUAAAGAGUAAAUAAAAACGAAAACCCACAGAUGAUGGCACAGUGGUGCCGAAACAUGUUUGGGUACUGAGAAAAACGGUGUUUUGUGUAACAGGCAGACCUCAAAUCCCAAAAAUUUUAACUGCAAACACGGCCAAUACAAGGAGCUGCAAAUCAAAAGAUGGAUAUGACUUUUUCAUUCUACUUUCAAUCAAUUGGGACUUUUUAAAAGUGUUU
Schistocerca gregaria is the source of this 458-nucleotide long non-coding RNA. RefSeq lists it as uncharacterized. The transcript is spliced from 3 exons. NCBI's taxonomy places the organism in Eukaryota, Metazoa, Arthropoda, Insecta, Orthoptera, Acrididae. The record is from RefSeq and is a predicted model, not a curated record.